Molecule: long non-coding RNA, 1041 nt
Organism: Oncorhynchus keta (chum salmon)
Lineage: Eukaryota; Metazoa; Chordata; Actinopteri; Salmoniformes; Salmonidae
Exons: 3
Source: RefSeq, a predicted model, not a curated record
CUGUCAGACUGACAGACAGGAUCUGGUGGUGCAGUUCUCCCUGUCAGACUGACAGACAGGGUCUGGUGGUGCAGUUCUCCCUGUCAGACUGACAGACAGGGUCUGGUGGUGCAGUUCUCCCUGUCAGACUGACAGACAGGGUCUGGUGGUGCAGUUCUCCCUGUCAGACUGACAGACAGGGUCUGGUGGUGCAGUUCUCCCUGUCAGACUGACAGACAGGGUCUGGUGGUGCAGUUCUCCCUGUCAGACUGACAGACAGGGUCUGGUGGUGCAGUUCUCCCUGUCAGACUGACAGACAGGGUCUGGUGGUGCAGUUCUCCCUGUCAGACUGACAGACAGGGUCUGGUGGUGCAGUUCUCCCUGUCAGACUGACAGACAGGGUCUGGUGGUGCAGUUCUCCCUGUCAGACUGACAGACAGGGUCUGGUGGUGCAGUUCUCCCUGUCAGACUGACAGACAGGGUCUGGUGGUGCAGUUCUCCCUGUCAGACUGACAGACAGGGUCUGGUGGUGCAGUUCUCCCUGUCAGACUGACAGACAGGGUCUGGUGGUGCAGUUCUCCCUGUCAGACUGACAGACAGGGUCUGGUGGUGCAGUUCUCCCUGUCAGACUGACAGACAGGGUCUGGUGGUGCAGUUCUCCCUGUCAGACUGACAGACAGGGUCUGGUGGUGCAGUUCUCCCUGUCAGACUGACAGACAGGGUCUGGUGGUGCAGUUCUCCCUGUCAGACUGACAGACAGGGUCUGGUGGUGCAGUUCUCCCUGUCAGACUGACAGACAGGGUCUGGUGGUGCAGUUCUCCCUGUCAGACUGACAGACAGGGUCUGGUGGUGCAGUUCUCCCUGUCAGAAAACAUGUUUGUAAUGUUAAUCAUUUGGUGACUAUGGGUCUGUUGAUCAUCAUGCUAUUCUGUUGAAAUAUCAGCCUCCGCCCACCAGUGCUGACCAUAACCCUGUAUAGCCCAACAAAACACUGCCCCACUUCCUUUACUGAUUUACAUUUACAUUUACAUUUAAGUCAUUUAGCAGACGCUCUUAUCCAGA